Molecule: long non-coding RNA, 1066 nt
Organism: Triticum urartu
Lineage: Eukaryota; Viridiplantae; Streptophyta; Magnoliopsida; Poales; Poaceae
Source: RefSeq, a predicted model, not a curated record
UUUCUCUACUACUAUAAAAUUCUUAGUUGGCGAUGAUGGUGUGCCUGCCAUCCAUCAGUUUAGACCAUCAGAUCUUCAUCCAACGUACAGGAGGCAACCCACUUCAGCCGGGUGAUUCUCUCCUCCCCUGCUACAGUAUAAAGGUGAAAAGGAAGCGACCGGGAGGCGACUUCAGUUCUUCCGCCGACGAUCUCGUCGCUCCUCUUCGCCUCCGAUGGCCGUCUGACCUCGUGAAGCGUGGGGGGAGCUCCAGCACUCCGCCUGCGUGUAGAUACGGGUUGGUUGGGCGGCGCUCGGAUGGUGGCGCCGCGUCGCGUCCAAUAAAGCGGUCCUGGCUCCUACCCCAUCUCGCCGGCGAUGGCGAGGAGCCUAUGGGCCUGUGUGGUCUGGCGGUUCUGCUGAGGCGGCAGUUACACCAUCGACUCUGUUUGUAGCUAGCUGGACAGAGGAUCUGGUGGCCCUUCUCGCCGGAGGAGAUCCAGAGGCGGUGGAGCGCAGGGUGUGUCCUCCCCGAUCGAUGGCCUUCAUCAGUUUGGUGCCUCCGUUCAUGUUGACUUCUGUUCCGUAUCACAACCCAGAUUCUUGCCAGGCGCUUCUCCUGCUCACAAAUGGAUUCGUCCACGGUCAUCUCGGUGGCGGCGGCCAAAGGCGUGCGGGCUCUCUUUGGGGCCUUCAGGGAUGUGGUUCUGUUCUUCUUUGUUUGGAGGUCCUUUCUUCAAGUUUUCAGCUGGUUCUGGUGUCUUCGCGUGACGGCGUGAGUGUGUACGUGUUUAUUUUUUACUUUUGAGGGGAAAAUGUCAGCGCAUGCCAUGAGCAAGCCAACAAUAACAAAUAUUGGGAGGAGGAGUCCGGCUGCUGGAUGCGCCAUGCGUGUGCUGUUGUAAACUUGUAAUGCGUUGAGAGGAUUCACCAUUGUCUUGCGUGGAGCAGGUUCUAGAGCUAAGGCGAAAGACACAACUUUUGGGACUGGGUCGUGUGCCUGGACUGCAUGUAUUGUAGGUUGUGUUAUAUGCUUUAAGGUACUUGUGUUUUUUUUCAAAUCAUGAAAGUGGUUUAGAAUGUUACA